AACCUCUAGCAUUAAAAGUAUUAGAGGCAAUGCCUGCCCRGUGACUAAGUUUAACGGCCGCGGUAUCCUGACCGUGCAAAGGUAGCAUAAUCACUUGUUCCUUAAUUGGGGACUAGCAUGAACGGCUAAACGAGGAUUCAACUGUCUUUUACUUCUGAUCAGUGAAAUUGACCUUCCCGUGAAGAGGCGGGAAUAUYAUAAUAAGACGAGAAGACCCUAUGGAGCUUUAGUCCMACUUCUUAGCCUCUACAAUCAACAACCURCUGGCUUAAACAUAWAGGCAUAAGAUAAGGACUUCGGUUGGGGUGACCUCGGAGCAUAAAAAAUCCUCCGAAUGAUUACAGCUAAGGCCCACAAGCCAAGGCACCUCUAAUCUUAUUGAUCCAAAUAUAAUUGAUCAACGGACCAAGUUACCCUAGGGAUAACAGCGCAAUCCUAUUCGAGAGUCCAUAUCGACAAUUAGGGUUUACGACCUCGAUGUUGGAUCAGGACAUCCCAAUGGUGUAGCAGCUAUUAAAGGUUCGUUUGUU
This 530-nucleotide ribosomal RNA is filed under the name Cricetus cricetus (black-bellied hamster). RNAcentral describes it as "partial 16S ribosomal RNA". It matches the Rfam family "Bacterial large subunit ribosomal RNA", at positions 1816 to 2581 of the family's 2925-position model. Lineage: Eukaryota; Metazoa; Chordata; Mammalia; Rodentia; Cricetidae. The record is from RNAcentral.